CCUACGGGAGGCAGCAGUAAGGAAUAUUGGACAAUGGAGGCAACUCUGAUCCAGCCAUGCCGCGUGCAGGAAGAAGGCGCUACGCGUUGUAAACUGCUUUUGUACCAGAGAAAAUCAUUGUACGUGUACGAUGUUGAUAGUAUGGUAAGAAUAAGCAUCGGCUAACUUCGUGCCAGCAGCCGCGGUAAUACGAAGGAUGCAAGCGUUAUCCGGAUUUAUUGGGUUUAAAGGGAGCGUAGGCGGUCUUAUAAGUCAGUGGUGAAAUCUCGUUGCUUAACAACGAACGUGCCAUUGAUACUGUAGGACUUGAGUACAGUUGCCGUUGGCGGAAUGUGUCAUGUAGCGGUGAAAUGCAUAGAUAUGACACAGAACACCGAUUGCGAAGGCAGCUGACGAAACUGUAACUGACGCUGAGGCUCGAAAGCGUGGGGAUCAAACAGGAUUAGAUACCCUGGUAGUCCACGCCCUAAACUAUANAUACUCGUCUGUCGGCGAGUAUACUGUCGGUAGUACGUAGACGAAGACGUUAAGUUAAGUACCGUUACCGUUACGGGGUAGGUUACGGACCCGGCCGACGGGUUAGGAACGUAACGUUAAGUUAGUUAGUUAGGACGGCGAGAGAGCGACGACGGACGACGACGGAGGAGGAG
RNAcentral lists this ribosomal RNA (650 nucleotides) under uncultured bacterium. Its description in RNAcentral is "bacterial SSU rRNA". The stretch from base 1 to 540 matches the Rfam family "Bacterial small subunit ribosomal RNA", at positions 338 to 873 of the family's 1533-position model. The record is from RNAcentral.